UCGUUAGCUCAGUCGGUAGAGCAGCGGACUUUUAAUCCGUUGGUCGCGCGUUCGAGUCGCGCA
This 63-nucleotide transfer RNA is filed under the name Alcaligenes faecalis. It matches the Rfam family "tRNA", at positions 7 to 64 of the family's 71-position model. From Rfam's summary of the family: Transfer RNA (tRNA) molecules are approximately 80 nucleotides in length. Their secondary structure includes four short double-helical elements and three loops (D, anti-codon, and T loops). Further hydrogen bonds mediate the characteristic L-shaped molecular structure. tRNAs have two regions of fundamental functional importance: the anti-codon, which is responsible for specific mRNA codon recognition, and the 3' end, to which the tRNAs corresponding amino acid is attached (by aminoacyl-tRNA synthetases). tRNAs cope with the degeneracy of the genetic code in two manners: having more than one tRNA (with a specific anti-codon) for a particular amino acid; and 'wobble' base-pairing, i.e. permitting non-standard base-pairing at the 3rd anti-codon position. The record is from RNAcentral. Lineage: Bacteria; Pseudomonadati; Pseudomonadota; Betaproteobacteria; Burkholderiales; Alcaligenaceae. RNAcentral also lists the same sequence under 2 other names.